AAACCGCGAAUGGCUCAUUAAAUCAGUUAUGGUUCACUAGAUCGUAUCAAUCCUACAUGGAUAACUGUGGUAAUUCUAGAGCUAAUACAUGCAAUGAAGCCGUUCUGGCCUCGUGUCAGCGGCGCAGUUAUUAGAUUAAAACCAAUAUGGGCUUUCGGGUCCAUUAAACUUGUGUUGAAUCUGAAUAACCGAAGCAGAGCGCAUGGCCUCGAGCCGGCGCCAGAUCUUUCAAGUGUCUGAUCUAUCAGCCUGUCGUUAGGUUAUGUUCCUAACGUGGCUUCGACGGGUAACGGGGUAUCAGGGUCCGAUACCGGAGAGGGAGCCUGAGAAAUGGCUACCACAUCCAAGGAAGGCAGCAGGCGCGCAAAUUACCCACUCCCAGCUCGGGGAGGUAGUGACGAAAAAUAACGAUGCGGGAGCAUAAUGCUUCCCGUAAUCGGAAUGAGUACACUUUAAAUCCUUUAACGAGGAUCAAUUGGAGGGCAAGUCUGGUGCCAGCAGCCGCGGUAAUUCCAGCUCCAAUAGCGUAUAUUAAAGUUGCUGCGGUUAAAAAGCUCGUAGUUGGAUCUGGGUGCUUCGAUGAGUGGUGCAUCUAUUCGAUGUCUUCGAUACUCCAUCGACAUCACAAGCCAACCAUGUCCUUCUAUACCCUUCACUGGGCGUAGAUAAUGGGCGGUUUGAACGUUUACUUUGAAAAAAUUAGAGUGCUCAAAGCAGGUGUAUGGCCUUGAAUAAUGGUGCAUGGAAUAAUGGAAUAGGACCUCGGUUCUAUUUGUUGGUUUUCAAGAGCUCGAGAUAAUGAUAAAGAGGAACAGACGGGGGCAUUCGUAUUGCGACGUUAGAGGUGAAAUUCUUGGAUCGUCGCAAGACGAACUACUGCGAAAGCACUUGCCAAGAAUGUUUUCACUAAUCAAGAACGAAAGUUAGAGGUUCGAAGGCGAUCAGAUACCGCCCUAGUUCUAACCAUAAACGAUGCCAACCAGCAAUCUGUCGGUGUUUAUUUAACGACUCGACAGGCAGCUUCCGGGAAAC
This 1032-nucleotide ribosomal RNA is filed under the name Milnesium tardigradum. Its description in RNAcentral is "SSU rRNA". It matches the Rfam family "Eukaryotic small subunit ribosomal RNA", at positions 84 to 1098 of the family's 1831-position model. The record is from RNAcentral. Lineage: Eukaryota; Metazoa; Tardigrada; Eutardigrada; Apochela; Milnesiidae.